GAUCAUGGCUCAGGAUGAACGCUAGCGACAGGCUUAACACAUGCAAGUCGAGGGGCAGCAUGAUUUGUAGCAAUACAGAUUGAUGGCGACCGGCGCACGGGUGAGUAACGCGUAUGCAACUUACCUAUCAGAGGGGGAUAGCCCGGCGAAAGUCGGAUUAAUACCCCAUAAAACAGGGGUCCCGCAUGGGAAUAUUUGUUAAAGAUUCAUCGCUGAUAGAUAGGCAUGUCCG
RNAcentral lists this ribosomal RNA (232 nucleotides) under uncultured bacterium. RNAcentral's name for it is "partial 16S ribosomal RNA". It matches the Rfam family "Bacterial small subunit ribosomal RNA", at positions 15 to 237 of the family's 1533-position model. The record is from RNAcentral.